Molecule: unclassified non-coding RNA, 234 nt
Filed under: Hevea brasiliensis (rubber tree)
Lineage: Eukaryota; Viridiplantae; Streptophyta; Magnoliopsida; Malpighiales; Euphorbiaceae
Source: RNAcentral
CUGCGUGUUUAUUGCCUUUAGCGGCUGCAACGUGAAGAGCUGUCAUUUCCCGGGUUUCAGUAGCAAUGUAGGCAAUAGAUUUAUCCUUAUCUAAUAGAGCUACCACCAUUGACCUAGAACCUUCAUGUGCAGCAACAUGGAGUGGAGUCCACUCGAACUUUCCCUUUUUUUUAACCAAACUACCUUGUUUCUCCAAGAGCACACAGACUACGUCUGUAUCCCAUCGUCUUACUG